Molecule: long non-coding RNA, 702 nt
Filed under: Heterocephalus glaber (naked mole-rat)
Lineage: Eukaryota; Metazoa; Chordata; Mammalia; Rodentia; Bathyergidae
Description: lncRNA (ENSHGLG00000040000.1)
Source: RNAcentral
GGCAGCUAUGUAUCUCCAAGCAGCCCAGGAUGAGGUGAAAUAUUUGCUGGGGUUUGUUCUUGGAAGAAGUUGUGAAGGCAAGAAAUUGAACAUCAAGUGACCCUGGAAGAACUACAAAAUUUAAACGCACUAUUUCAGAAACAAAUGGUGAAUGCAUCAGAGAAAUGAACAAAAGAUAUGUUAGAAGUUGACAGAGUUUAGGAGCAUGAAAAGAGAGGAACACGACUGCUGGAUAUGGAAACAUUCAAAAGCAUAAUGAAGCAGAGUAUGAGGUCCCAGAAUAAAAGUACUCGUUGACCCUCAGUACUUCUGUCAACUUGAAGCUGAAUGAAGAGAACGUGCUUGUUUGCAAUUUUCAAAUUUAUGAAUGAUGAGAAUUGAAGUGAAGACCCACACUACAUGGAACAUGGUACACUCUAACAGUCAUUAUCAUCACCGCCAUUGUCAUCAUCAUCAUCAUCAUCAUCAUCAUCAUCAUCAUCAUCAACAACAACAACAACAACACCAUUAAAGAAAAAGGGAAAGCAGAAGAAGUAAGCUGGCAGCUGGGAAACAGACUUCAGGCCCAGCUGAGCAUGCUUACCACAGUUAUUACACGUAAGUUUGGCAAUAAAGUUCAUGUACUAACAUUUACUACAUCCAAGAAAGGAGUUAUCUAUUCUCUAAUGGGAAAGGAAAUUUUUGAAAGCCAGAAAGACAGUG